GAUGAACGCUGGCGGCGUGCCUAAUACAUGCAAGUCGAGCGAACAGACGAGGAGCUUGCUCCUCUGACGUUAGCGGCGGACGGGUGAGUAACACGUGGAUAACCUACCUAUAAGACUGGGAUAACUUCGGGAAACCGGAGCUAAUACCGGAUAAUAUAUUGAACCGCAUGGUUCAAUAGUGAAAGACGGUUUUGCUGUCACUUAUAGAUGGAUCCACGCCGCAUUAGCUAGUUGGUAAGGUAACGGCUUACCAAGGCAACGAUGCGUAGCCGACCUGAGAGGGUGAUCGGCCACACUGGAACUGAGACACGGUCCAGACUCCUACGGGAGGCAGCAGUAGGGAAUCUUCCGCAAAGGGCGAAAGCCUGACGGAGCAACGCCGCGUGAGUGAUGAAGGUCUUCGGAUCGUAAAACUCUGUUAUUAGGGAAGAACAAAUGUGUAAGUAACUAUGCACGUCUUGACGGUACCUAAUCAGAAAGCCACGGCUAACUACGUG
Molecule: ribosomal RNA, 497 nt
Filed under: uncultured bacterium
Lineage: Bacteria
Description: partial 16S ribosomal RNA
Rfam family: Bacterial small subunit ribosomal RNA
Source: RNAcentral